RNAcentral lists this long non-coding RNA (741 nucleotides) under Oryctolagus cuniculus (rabbit). Its description in RNAcentral is "lncRNA (ENSOCUG00000027976.2)". The record is from RNAcentral. Lineage: Eukaryota; Metazoa; Chordata; Mammalia; Lagomorpha; Leporidae.
AUGGGGAGGUCCGGGUGCUGCUGCCCGCUCUGGGCUUCUGGCUGGGGCGAGGGACCAGUGCCCAUGGAUGCUGGGUCCUGCCUCAGUUUCCCUGGGUGCUUUUCCAGUAGAAAUGAGAAGGCCCGACACAGGGCCAGCAGCCAGAAUUCCCAGGAACUGGGGGGUGGGCUCCCCGCUGGGCAGGCCUGGGGGCCCAGGGCACCCACAGCAGUGGGGCUCAGUGGAGCCCAUGGGGUGGGAGCAGGCUUCUGGCUAAGGCUGGCCCUGGCGGAUGUGUGUCCCCAGCCACACUCACGUGGGGGUGCGAUCUCAGCCUCCGCGGCCCUGCCAGGCUCCCGCCUCUCCACAGAUCUGCCCGGAGCUGCUGUCCUACAGGGCGGGGCAGCGGGAGCCAGCCUGAAGCCCAGGCAGGGCCCCCGCGGAUGGCAGACAAGGUGGUCCCCCGGCAGGUGGCCCGGCUGGGCCGCACGGUGCGGCUGCAGUGCCCGGUGGAAGGGGACCCGCCACCCCUGACCAUGUGGACCAAGGAUGGCCGCACCAUCCACAGCGGCUGGAGCCGCUUCCGCGUGCUGCCCCAGGGGCUGAAGGUGAAGGAGGUGGAGGCCGCGGACGCAGGCGUGUAUGUGUGCAAGGCCACCAACGGCUUCGGCAGCCUCAGCCUCAACUACACGCUCGUCGUGAUGGGUCAGUCAGGGCAGCGGCCACUGGGCCCUCCCCGGGGCAGCGCCAGUAGGUGGGGGG